RNAcentral lists this ribosomal RNA (418 nucleotides) under uncultured microorganism. Its description in RNAcentral is "bacterial SSU rRNA". It matches the Rfam family "Bacterial small subunit ribosomal RNA", at positions 9 to 423 of the family's 1533-position model. The record is from RNAcentral.
GAGUUUGAUCUUGGCUCAGAUUGAACGCUGGCGGCAUGCCUUACACAUGCAAGUCGAACGGCAGCAUGAUCUAGCUUGCUAGAUUGAUGGCGAGUGGCGAACGGGUGAGUAAUACAUCGGAACGUGCCCUGUAGUGGGGGAUAACUAGUCGAAAGAUUAGCUAAUACCGCAUACGACCUGAGGGUGAAAGUGGGGGACCGCAAGGCCUCAUGCUAUAGGAGCGGCCGAUGUCUGAUUAGCUAGUUGGUGGGGUAAAGGCCCACCAAGGCGACGAUCAGUAGCUGGUCUGAGAGGACGAUCAGCCACACUGGGACUGAGACACGGCCCAGACUCCUACGGGAGGCAGCAGUGGGGAAUUUUGGACAAUGGGCGAAAGCCUGAUCCAGCAAUGCCGCGUGUGUGAAGAAGGCCUCGGUGU